GUCGACCUGGUGCAGGGCGAGCGGUGGACGCAGUCCUCCGGGCUGCCCGUACGGGCGGGAGUCGUCGAUCGGCGGCGGAUCGUCGUCGCCGGUGAGCCC
This 99-nucleotide transfer RNA is filed under the name Micromonospora sp. NBRC 107095. RNAcentral describes it as "tRNA-Gly". Lineage: Bacteria; Bacillati; Actinomycetota; Actinomycetes; Micromonosporales; Micromonosporaceae. The record is from RNAcentral.